Molecule: long non-coding RNA, 2982 nt
Filed under: Sarcophilus harrisii (Tasmanian devil)
Lineage: Eukaryota; Metazoa; Chordata; Mammalia; Dasyuromorphia; Dasyuridae
Description: lncRNA (ENSSHAG00000022914.1)
Source: RNAcentral
GCUAAAGAUUGUUUCAUUUUUCCUUCCAAGGAAAACUCGAGUGACUUUUAGCAAUAAUUUUUAUUUGUAACAGUGAUGAGUGUCAAGGUGGGGAAAAGGGAGAAAGAAAAGAGUUCCAAAGAGGUCAGUGAACAGUACAACCAACACAAAAGCAUAAUUGCAGGAAACUUGUUCUUACAUAAAGAACGUGAGGUAGCAAACAUAAUGCAAGGAUACUAGCAAAGUUAUAUUACACACUCCAAUAAGGAUGUAAAAUUCAGUCCAAGCUGGGAAAUAAUCUGAUUCAAGUUGCAAGAUUAUUUUCCUAAAAAAGAUAACACUUUUAUUCAAGAAAAAUAAAUCUGGCUUUAACUUUUUAAAAUUCUAAACCCCAUCGAACUUUUUGGCCCAGAUGAAUCCAGUGUCAGACGGUACAUCAGCCCUUUACAUCAGAAUUCUAAAUCAACAAAUCACUGGCUCAGUGGACUCCCCAAAGCACUAUGCAAAAAGGCUUUAAAAUGACUAACAAUACAGAAUCAUUGCAGGAUGAUGGUACAACUUAUCUCAGAAUUUGGAGUGGUGGUUUGGGAAAUGAGGUGGUGAGCUCCCAACAUGAGAGAUUCAGAAUAGAAGCUGAGCACUGACUUUCGAAGCCCACCUCUGCUAACCACCCAUAAUAUGCUCAAGGGAGAGUUAAUCCACCUCUCUGCGCCUGUUUCCUAAGAUACUAAAAAUGGACAGCUUUUAUUAAAUGAUCUCAAUUUUUCUUUCCAGUACCAAACAUAAGAUCCUAGCUACUUGCUUCUGGGAGAGGGAACACAAAAGAAGUCUUGUACACAUAAGUCAAUACAUACAAGAUUUGGGAAUGUGAAAUGCUAUACUUUAAAGGGAUUAGAGCUCUCCAGUAAACUUCUACAGGCUUUCCUUGUUAAAAUGAGAAAAACUCUCACAGUAACCCUUCUGUGCUUUCCUGAUGUCCCUACCUCCGUCUUCCCCUGCAAACACUCAGACUUUCUUCAGUGAAAUUUAAGAUGGAAUUAAAGUUCCCCCAAAUGAUGGAAUUUACAGGGACCAAGUUAAGAAGUAUCAUGGAAAGAAAGAUGAACUGGUAAUCAGGAGGGUUGGAUUUUAGUGCUAGUUUCUAGACAAUCUUAAACAAGCAAUUUCUGCACUGUCUCAUCACCCAUGAAGCAAAACCAGAAAGGAUUGUUUUUAAGGUCACUCUGCAGAGAUCCUUAAGAAUAAAUAGGGCAGUUGCUAUGAUUUCCUAACUCUCUAAUUUAGGCUACAAAGUUUUUGAGAUGGAAGGGACCUUAGACAUCAUAUAAUUUAGUUCCUUAAUUUUCUAGAUGAAGACCCAGGGAAAUAAAUGACAUCCAAAUUUACACAGAAAAGGAUGACUUCACAAAAAAAAAAAAAAAAAAAAAAAAAAGUGAAAUAGUUCUGAUUGUCAUUUUCAUAUCUCUAUUGUAACAAACUGCUGUAUGAAUGUAAUGGAAUUGUAUUGUACUAUAUGAAAUCAUGAAAAAGAUUGGUUUGGGGGGGGGGGGGAAGAACACCUCAGAAGAAUGACAGAGCCCAGAUGUGAUGAAUUUAAAAUGUAGAAGCAUACUUUUGUGACAUAGUCAACAAGGGAAUUCACCAGUGACAUUGGAAGUAGGGGAGAUGUGAGUGGGAGAAAGUGUUUAAUUGAUGAAAAAAAAGGGUAAAAUUGAGAAAGAACUAUUACUAUAUACAUAACAAUAGACAUAGCAUUUUUUUCAUCCAGGCAAUAUAUACCAAUUCAGUUUUACUUAAAAAUUCAAAAUAUAAAUUUAUCUUGCUGAUAUUGCAACAUUUUUGUGGCUUUGUAUCUUAAAAUAUAGAACAUGUAUUAUAUUUCUGGGAACAAAACUUGGACAAAACUUCUGAAUAGCAGAUGGAAGGAUUCCCUAUAAAGGGGUCUAUGAACUUUAAAAAACAUAUGUAUAUAAUAUAUAUGCAUUUUUGUAUGCACAUAACUAUUUCAGGAUAAUUGGCUUCCUUUGUAAUCCUAUGUAUUUUAUACACUUAAAAAACAUGUUUCUGAGAAGAGAUCCAUAUGCUUCACCAGACUCCUGGGAUACAAGAGAUGAAGAAACCUUACUAUAGUUGGUGAAGUCCUUUAGACAUUGCUGUUCAUGGAUGAUAUUGUGCUGAUUUCUUCAAGCUCCAAAACAUUAGAGGACAUUCUUAAUGAGAUGCAGGAUUGCUUAAGAAAUCCAGGCAAGAAAAAUUAAAUGGGAUUUUAAGAUAUCUAUUUUCUAGACUGAACUACAGCUUAAGGUACAGUCCAUUAAGUUAGAGGUAUGUGUGUAUGUCUGUCUGUCUGUCCAUAUACCUGAGAAAGGCACUGCAAAUGGAUGAUAACUUGGGCUCAGUCAGCGAUAAAAAGCUGCUUCUUAACACAAAAACUCUUCUUUUUUCUUCCUUUUUGUAAAACAUAAGUCAAUCUUGGAUCAAUCUCUGAAGAACAAGUCCAGUGAGCAAACUAAGAGAUAACUAAAGGAUGUCCGGUGUUUUCAGUGAUUAGUGAUGUGCAGGAAAUUGAUAGUUAAAAGAAAUGUAUGGAGGGAAAGAAACAUGAAUGAGCUCUCAGAUCUACUGAAACAGGUAUAUGCUAAAGACUGAGUUCUUACUUCAUCAUUCCAUAAAAAAUAAAAAAAGGUUUUAAGAUGAGAUAAUUCCUAAGGUCUUUUAGAAUUCAAAAUUUUACGAGCAUAACUAUGUUCACAAAUAAUCAGAAGAGAGCUAAGAGCUACAAGAUCAGAUUAUUCAUUCACUGGAGUAGAGUUCUACUUUUUUAUGCUUGAGAAGUUGGAAACUUCUGUAUUAGAAAAACAAGAUAAAGAAUAGAGACAAUGACAUUCAAAAUAGUGCUUCGAUUUUAGUUGGGACAAGUAAAAAGUCCCACAAAUGCAACCAAACUCAUAUUUAUGUAAAAUCAAUAGUAAUUGAAGAAAGUUAUAUAGAACUGAUGUGGGU